GGGCGAUAGAAACCAGAUAGAAACUGAUAAUGGUGCAUGUGACUUCAGUUAAGUUUUUGUUAGCCGCCAAUGUUGAAACCAAGUACUUGCUCAAUGGCUUUCCAUAUCUGGGGAAAGAUAAAACAAGGCCAGUGGGUGAGCGACUCACUGUCUGAGACUGUGAUUUUGAGACUCGUGGGGCUUUACUUGGGCAAAGGCAGAGUUGUGACCAUGGACAACUUCUUCACAUCAAUUUCCCUGGCAGACAAGUUGAUUGCAAAGAAGACUAGCCUGAUUGGAACAGUGAACAAACAAAGGCGGGAGAUGUCCCCCUCUGCGCAAAACAACAUACCAGCGGAGCUGUACUAAAGCAACAGUCACGGUGUACAGAUGUAAAAUAAAUAAGUGUUUGCAUCCUACGCUCCAUGCAUUCUACUGUUGCCAUCGGCAGUGACCAGAAGAAGAAACCGGAGACGGUGACAGACUACAAUAACAAAGGUUGGUGUGGAUGUGUAACCGAUGUGAAAUGGCUAGUUAGUUAGCGGUGGUGCGCGCUAAUAGCAUUUCAAUCGGGUGACGUCACUCGCUCUGAGACCUGAAGUAGUUGUUCCGCGGCUUUUGUGGCGCGAUGGGUAACGAUGCUUCGUGGGGUGUCAGUUGUUGAUGUGUGCAGAGGGUCCCUGGUUCAAGCCCAGGUUGGGGCGAGGAGAGGGACGGAAGCGAUACUGUUACAGAUGCACUCGACCAGAUGGCAAGACUGUACUCUGUAAAAGGAGGUACUCACCACUGGCCUGUUGCAGUGUUCUACAACUUACUCGAUAUGGCUGCUAACGUGUACGUGUUAUACAAGCAAUGCCUUGACAAGACAGUCAGCAGGAGAGAUUUCAUGAUGCAUCUGGCACGUGAGCUUUACGAGAACCACAUGAACAUCACCAAGGCAGCAGGUCUCCCUCUUCCCCAAGCACCCCAGCUCCCACUCAGGAAAAAGAAGACAGAAUGUCAAGUCGACAGGUGCACACGAAACAACCCACAUGAAAACUGUGUGUAGUGCAACUGAUUUGUUUGUGGGGCUUGCUCACACAAAGCCCCGAAGCUGUGUGUUGACUGUGGACCCGAAGCGAUUGAUUCAUCUGUAAAGACAGGUGUAAGGGCACAAUACAGUGUCCGAUCAACAAAUGACUGUUUUUAUAUCUUGUCAUGAAUAUUUUUCCACAACCAUUUCUUUAUGUGAUUAAUCCUUUACAAUUGUUCAUGCACUGGUGAUUUUAUUCAGGAAUACAGCA
This 1262-nucleotide long non-coding RNA is filed under the name Salmo salar (Atlantic salmon). Its description in RNAcentral is "lncRNA (ENSSSAG00000087763.1)". Lineage: Eukaryota; Metazoa; Chordata; Actinopteri; Salmoniformes; Salmonidae. The record is from RNAcentral.